Molecule: small RNA, 27 nt
Filed under: Bombyx mori (domestic silkworm)
Lineage: Eukaryota; Metazoa; Arthropoda; Insecta; Lepidoptera; Bombycidae
Description: ovarian small RNA-26202
Source: RNAcentral
UCAUGAAGACACAUUCUGGACUCUCUG